CUGCAACAGAAGAUGAUUCCUGUGACAUGCAGGGCAAUCUGAAGAAAGCAAAGUCUUAUUCAGAUACCACCAUGAUUGAUAAGCUGCACCUAUGUAAUGUAGACAUGGCUCAUGUUAACUAUGAAAAGUUUCCUCAUGUAACUAGAAUUGUAAAAGACAUUCUGAAUACUGAAGAAACUGCAAAGAGCCACAAUGCAGAUUCCCAAGACAGGAGCUCACUCUUGCAGUUUCAUCCUGGAAAGGCAGAACAAGCAGUUUCCAAGGAUGAACCAGUCAUGGUGAAUCAACUGGAAAAAUAUACAGUGUGUUCUGAAAUAAUACAGAGUGAUGGGAUUUGUACAGAUAAUUGCAAGUCCCCUGAAACUAACAAAAAAGCUAAAGGGAGUUGUGAAUUGAAUCUGGAAAUUGAUGAGAGUGAACUAGAUAUAGGCUUCAUGAAGAAUAUAUUUGACAGCGGCAAACGCCAGUUAUUGCUAUGUCCGAGUCCAGUAAAGGAAUUGGCUGCGGAUAUUAAAUAUUUGCAAGGGCUAAGCCCUGACAAAGGGGAUAAAGAUGGAACACAUGAAGAGAAAUGUGAUGUUUCUUGUGAGGAGAAUAAAAGUACCUCUGUCCAAACACCAACAUUUUCUACGUCCAGUUUUUCUGAACAUAAAAAUGAAUACCUUCAGUUUGCCUUGCAAGUUCCAUUUCCUGACUGUCCAUCAAUUUCUCUACAAUCAGUUACCAGAAAUGAAGAAGAUGGAUGUCAACCAGAAAGUAAAAAGACAAGGGAUGAACAGAGACAGUCUCCAGGGUUAGAGGAAACUGAAAGUUCAGAUGAUUGUACUGAAAGUUUGAAUGUCUGGAAAAAUAGCAAUUUGCAUGAUUCAGGUUUCAACCAUAUUAAUAGGAGUAGUUCUGGUUCAGUUCAUUUUCAAGAUGCAAAAUCCAAAGAUACUGAAAACAAAAAAAUGGAACUGAAUCCUCAGACAGAAUUAAUGCAGCAACAUUCUUUAACUUCUCUACCAUUGUUACCCGGAUUCAUCCAUGCUGACAAGGAUGUCAUGGAAGAAAAACAACUGAACAGUGACACAGAAAAAGCUGUUGAUGUUUCUAGAACUGGUGAGAUUAAGAAUGCGAUUCCCCAACCAAAUUUAGAAUGUUCUGCGAAAGAGUAUCAGCAUCUUGAACUGUUGUCAGACACACCAGACAACUUGCUGGACCCACCUACCAAAAAUAUAAAAGGUUCACCAAACCUUUGGGAUAAGAAUGACAUUUUGGCUAUCCCUGCUAAAAUAGACAAGCAAAUGAUGAAUGGAACAGAUCUGGAUAGCAAAAACAAAUGCAACCCCAUGUUGAAGAGUCAGGACUUUAUUUUGGCUUACCCGAAAUUCCUAGAGAAGCUGCCCUCCUCAGAAGAGGAUUCCAGUGAAGAUGAAAAGUUUUCUUGUUUUCAGGCACUAAUGAAUGUGCAAAGCACACAAUCACACUCAGUAAAAGAGAAGGAGAUACCACUAAAGGUGUUAACAUCCAACAGCAGCAGCA
Molecule: long non-coding RNA, 1524 nt
Filed under: Notechis scutatus (mainland tiger snake)
Lineage: Eukaryota; Metazoa; Chordata; Lepidosauria; Squamata; Elapidae
Description: lncRNA (ENSNSUG00000008581.1)
Source: RNAcentral